This 208-nucleotide long non-coding RNA is filed under the name Fukomys damarensis (Damara mole-rat). RNAcentral describes it as "lncRNA (ENSFDAG00000023912.1)". Lineage: Eukaryota; Metazoa; Chordata; Mammalia; Rodentia; Bathyergidae. The record is from RNAcentral.
GGCCGGCCUGCAGGACAGCUGUAGCUGUAGCGGCCAAUUAAACCAGGCCCUGUCUUACUGUUCUGGGAGUUGCGGGGGAUCGUCAGGCCAUUUCCGAUCUGUAUCACAAAGCUCUUCUAAGCUUUGCUACAUCUUUUUCGUCCACUAAUGCAAGAAGAGAAUGGACUUAUUCUAUACUUAAUAUUUUGAAUAAAUAAAAAGAUACACG